Long non-coding RNA from Polyodon spathula (Mississippi paddlefish), 858 nucleotides. RefSeq lists it as uncharacterized. The record is from RefSeq and is a predicted model, not a curated record. Lineage: Eukaryota; Metazoa; Chordata; Actinopteri; Acipenseriformes; Polyodontidae. The transcript has 3 exons.
UCUGCCGGGCGACGCCAGGGGGUUUGCCAGGCUGGAGGAGGCAUCAGUGCACGCCUGCAGAGUUAAGAGAACAAGGAGGACCUUCACUCAGGUGGCCCCAGUGGAGCUUUAAGAUUGAUGUGGAACCAAAAUAGUUUUUUUUUUCAGUUUCGGAGCCCUUCCUGAUUUUGCAAGUGAUGCUCCCAGGAGACAGCAGCUGGGACAUUAUGCAGUAAUCCCAAAGGGAAUCCAUCUCCCAUCGCUGCUCCUCCCAGCCAGGAAGCCAUCAGACCUAACAAAAACUGCAACUUCAGCCCUUCAGAAGACCCAAUUACACACCCGCCCUCCAGCACUGCAGCUACAAGCACCUCUCCAGAAACACCCUCUCAUUAUUUCAUUAGGAAUUUGGAUGCAGGGUUUUCCCAAGCGGAAUAUGUUGGUGUUCAGCUCUUCUUAUUGUCGUGGUAACCGUUUCAGCAUUUACACAACAGGCUUUUCUUUACCAGUAUGAUUUAUAUAUCAAAUACUAGCUCAUUGUGCUGCACUAUUGAACUCUUUCAACACUGCAGAGCUGUAUACCGGUCUAAGACAGAUCACUUUUACCUGGACUUCGAUACACCACUGGGCCUAAGGUAUUAUGGGCAACUGAGAAAUCAUGCAAACCAGCAAUCCAAUCUAAUAUGCUGACGUAUAGGGUAUAUAAUCUUCAUCUUCAAGACAAUGAAACCAUUUUGUUAGUCAUCCCAACAUAGUCUUAUUUUAAAAUGUAUCUAAAGUCCUGAAAGAGUGAAAUUUACUCAGUUCCUGCUUGCAGAUUGAGCAUCGAGAAAUCGGAAAAUUUAUACAAAAUAAAAUAACUUACCCCUUUUGGUAUCUUUA